Molecule: ribosomal RNA, 253 nt
Filed under: uncultured bacterium
Lineage: Bacteria
Description: partial 16S ribosomal RNA
Rfam family: Bacterial small subunit ribosomal RNA
Source: RNAcentral
AACGUAGGUUCCGAGCGUUAUCCGGAUUUACUGGGCGUAAAGCGCGUUCAGGCGGUUUGGCAAGUCGGGCAUGAAAUCUCUCGGCUCAACCGGGAGAGGUUGUCCGAUACUGCUGGACUUGAGGGCAGUAGAGGGUGGUGGAAUUCCACGUGUAGCAGUGAAAUGCGUAGAGAUGUGGAGGAACACCGAUGGCGAAGGCAGCCCCCUGGGUCAACACUGACGCUCAUGCACGAAAGCGUGGGGAGCAAACAGG